This 423-nucleotide unclassified non-coding RNA is filed under the name fungal sp. RNAcentral's name for it is "partial internal transcribed spacer region". The stretch from base 1 to 46 matches the Rfam family "Eukaryotic small subunit ribosomal RNA", at positions 1786 to 1831 of the family's 1831-position model. Lineage: Eukaryota; Fungi. The record is from RNAcentral.
AAGUCGUAACAAGGUUUCCGUAGGUGAACCUGCGGAAGGAUCAUUAAAGGAAUAUAAUAUAUUCUCUCACACCUUAUGUGCAUUAGUAUUGUAUAAAAAAAACUUUUUUUUUCUUGGUAAAAAAAGUCUUUUUUUUUAAUUUCUUUGGUGGGACAAAGCCUUUGAUUUGACUGAAAUUUUUUUUGGGGUAUAUCUGGCCUGGGGAGAAAAAUGUUUUUUUCUUUCUUUUGGGCCAGGCCAUCCCAAAAAAAAAUUUAGUUUGGGCCAAACUCUCACCAAAAGGAAUAUUAAGAAAAAAAUUUUUUUUUACCAAGGGAGAAAAAGUCAAUUCACUCGAAUCAAAAAAUUUUACUUUGCCUGAAAAACUUUUUGAAAAUAAUUAAUUUAUAAAUACAACUUUCAACAACGGAUCUCUUGGCUCUC